RNAcentral lists this transfer RNA (73 nucleotides) under Nitrososphaerota archaeon. Its description in RNAcentral is "Thaumarchaeota archaeon tRNA-Gly". It matches the Rfam family "tRNA". From Rfam's summary of the family: Transfer RNA (tRNA) molecules are approximately 80 nucleotides in length. Their secondary structure includes four short double-helical elements and three loops (D, anti-codon, and T loops). The record is from RNAcentral. Lineage: Archaea; Thermoproteati; Nitrososphaerota.
GCGGUCAUCGUCUAGUUUGGUUAGGACACUGGCCUUCCAAACUAGAGCGGGAAUUCAAAUCCCGGUGACCGCA